AAUAAACUAAGAAUUAUGAAAUGAUAAAUGCCAUGACAGAUGCUGUAUAACCUAAAUUGAUGAGGGGAUGUAUGACAGAAAUUCAGAGGAAAUAAUUUCCUUUCCUUUAAUAUUCAAAUCAAUUAUGGUUCUGCUGGUCUCUCAAUUCUCUCUUACUGAAACUGAAUUAUAAAUAGGUGUGGGGGAAAAAAAAGAACUCAACAUUUGAAACUCGGAGUAUAUUUUAUUUUCUGGUUUGGAUUUCAUGACAUCCUUUUGUCUUUUUCAGGACUCUUAACAUACUCAUCUCUCUCUUAUUACUCCUCUUUGACAACAUGUUGGCAUUCUUAAAUCUUCUAGAUUCUUUUUUUUUUUUUUUUUUUUUUUUUUUUGCUGUUUUAGGGCCACACCAUGUGGCAUAUGGAAGUUCCCAGGCCAGGGGUUGAAUCAGAGCUACAACUGGAGCCUAGACCACAGCCACAGCAACACAGGAUCUGCAUCUGUGACAUACACCACAGCUCAUGGCAAUGCUGGAUAUUUACCCACUGAAUGAGGCUGGGGAUCUAACCUGUAUCCUCAUGGAUACUACCUGGGUUCCUUACUGCUGAGGCACAAUGGGAUCUCCAAAUCUUUUAGAUCUUAACUUCCCUCUGUCUAAUUGACAUUUGUUCCCCCUCUAGUUACUUUCUCUUUCUUUCCCCUUUCCACAGAAUUCAUCGAGGAAUUGUUUUCAUUAUGCCAUCUCUCUAUUUCCUAACCUGUCCUCUAUCCACUCCAAAUCUGUCACUACCCUUGACCUUAACAAUGCCCUUAACCAUUCCUGCAUUCCUGACAACUCUCCUAACCACUCUCUUCUUAUACACUGCUGCCCCUUCCAGUCACUUCUUUAUACUGAACUGGAAUGUUCUUUCUAAAUCUCAAACUUGGUCAUGUCAAUCUACACUUUAUUCACUCUCUUAUAAAGCCCUCAGUUACUCCUAAGACAAAAAGAUAAUAAUAACAUAGGCUACAAAGUUCUAACAGGCAAAAUUAGUUGACUACCCAUUUUCUCAUUACUUUCUAACCACUUUCUAACAAAAAAUACAAUUCCUAUCUUCCUGUUCAUAACAAGAGAGUCAUGUAGC
RNAcentral lists this long non-coding RNA (1103 nucleotides) under Sus scrofa (pig). RNAcentral describes it as "lncRNA (ENSSSCG00050006974.1)". The record is from RNAcentral. Lineage: Eukaryota; Metazoa; Chordata; Mammalia; Artiodactyla; Suidae.